CCAAGAUGGUGCAGGUAGGACACUGACACCAAGAUGGUGCAGGUAGGAGACUGACACACCAAGAUGAUGCAGGUAGGACACUGACACCAAGAUGGUGCAGGUAGGAGACUGACACACCAAGAUUGUGGAGGUAGGAGACUGACACACCAAGAUGGUGCAGGUAGGAGACUAACACACCAAGAUGGUGCAGGUAGGAGACUGACACACCAAGAUGGUGCAG
Molecule: long non-coding RNA, 220 nt
Organism: Oncorhynchus keta (chum salmon)
Lineage: Eukaryota; Metazoa; Chordata; Actinopteri; Salmoniformes; Salmonidae
Exons: 3
Source: RefSeq, a predicted model, not a curated record